ACAUGUGGAGUUCUCUAAACUGGUUCAGACAGCUGGACCCCAUUUUGUGUUUGUUUUUUCAAACAGAUUCUUCGUGCUCUAAACCAAAUCCAGCUGCCACUCCAGUCACUUUCCAGGCAAGACAGGGCUACCUUCAGCAUCUCUAGUGAAAGUGGUGAAUUAGCACUUCAGAAGUGAGAUGGCAUGGACAGAAGCUUCUGGGGCUGAGCUCACCAUUGGAAGCUUCUUUCCAGCUUCCUGAAGGUCUCUGGAGGUCUCUUCUUACCGGGGAGGAUGAUCCCUGGUGGCUCCCUGCUGACAUUCUUCAAAACUCGGCUAUUUCCCCAGUGUCCUGCUGAUAAAACAGAAGAGGAAAUGAUGAAAGUGUUUGCAGUGGCCUGUAGUGAAGUGGCUCUUUCUGCCCUUGCUGUGCGUCUCACUCCAGGACCUCCUGAAGAGCGCUGAUCCUGCACUAUACAUGUGGUUCUUCUCCUAUGCCUCCCGACUUGUCAGAGAAUUUCUUGAGGACAUGGAUGACUGUCUGGCAGCGACAGUUCCAGGCCAGGGACAUCCCUGUGUGGUUUCUGAGAAGGAUGAGGAGUUCAAGAAGUGAAGGCUCUGUCAUACAUAAAGAGAAAACAAUUUCACUGUGCAAUCCAGGAGAGACAAAGCAGUGUAGCAUGUGGCUUCAGGAUUCUGGCCAGCAGAGGAUGCCAGUGUCUCUACAUCGUGACAACUUUGAAUGUGACCAUUGUAUCACCUACUAAGUCCGGCAGAACUAGAAAUUAUGGCUGAAGUUCCAGAAAGUUCCAGAAAGCACAUUUGGCCUUAUAAUAGAUAAUUACUAACUGCAAGAGCUGUGCAUUUACUAAAUGAUAUGCUCUGCCAAGGAGCGAGUUCCCCAUCACAGAGAGCAGCAGAAGCCAUCAUCAGGAAUGCUGCGUGUGGAUUUCUGAGUUGAGUAUGCGGUUAAAACACAAGACGCUAGGUUUAGUCCAAUCUUAAAAUUCUACGAUUUUAAUCUUUUAAAAAUAGUGUUUGCAUAGUAUUUUUAAGUUUUUGAUGAACCUCACAUACAUGAUCUCAUUGAUUCUUUUUUAAAAAAUGGAGGUCACUUUUUCUUGGCUUAAACAAAUGAAAAUAAAUAUAAACAAUAUAGACUUCUGAAGAAGGAUGGCAGAAUAAAGGCAAAAUAAAGACUCUCCUCCUCCAACAUCUAAAAUAUGAAUAAAAAUAAUAAAAAUCAGCAAAAAAAAAAAAACCCACAAAAAAACAGCAACAGCAAGAACACAAAGAAAUGGGAGCAACCUAACGUCAUAGACUUCAAAAAGGGGAGGACAAAGGAAGGAAGGAGAGAUUUUAGAAAAGUAGUUUCUCUGUGCUCACUUUGGAAGACUUGGAUUACCAAAAUAUUGAAAAAUUGAAUCAAAAGCUAUUAAUCUGAAAAGAAACAAAUUAGCAGGGCAUAUUGUUUUCCUUGAAUGCUUUAGGUUAUAGAACAGGUUAAUAACAAUAUGAAUUCAACAUAGUGGGUCCCAAAGAGGAAAUGAUGAAACAAGAGAAUGAUCUGGAAAAGUGAUUUUCUACUGUCCUAUAGAAACAAAUUAAAGACCAAAACAAUAUUAUUUUUUUUUAAUGAUACUUUAGUUCUAGGGUACAUGUGCACAAUGUGCAGGUUUGAUACAUAGGUAUACAUGUGCCACGUUGGUUUGCUGCACUCAUCAACUCGUCAUUUACAUUAGGUAUUUCUCCUAAUGUUAUCCCUUCCCCCGUCGCCCAACCCCACGACAGGCCCGGGUGUGUGAUGUUCCCCGCCCUGUGUCCAAGUGUUUUCAUUCAAAACGACAUUAUUAUAGAACUGAUAAAUAGAUAAAAAUCAUCAUUUCCAUCUCUCUGCCAGGCAACCUAAGUACUUCAGGGGACUGUGAACCCAGCUCCAGGGCCAGGGUGGAAUGAUUGGGCUAAGGAUAAUUCCUUAUCCCAGGGAACUCAGGUCAAAACCAACCAGGGUGUGGCAUAUUCCUGCAGUAGAAUCUGGAAUGGGCUUGUGACCCAGCUCAGGCCAGUGAAACAUGAAGGAAGGCUUGGCGGAGAAUUCUGAAGAAGGAGCUUCUCAGCUUUUAAGAGAAGCUCACCAUAGGAAACUCCCUCUCUCCCUCUGGACUUGUUGGUUUAAAGACGCAAAACCUGGAGCUGCUACAGACAUUUUUCACCACUGCAAGUGAAGACUUCUGCCCCAUAGACAGCGACUGGAAGCUGGAUCAGGCCAACCCUGAAGAUCACUCUGUCUCUGGAUGUCGGUUACACAAAUCAAUACAUUUCCAUGUGUUAAAGCAAUUCGACUUGGAUUUUACAUAUAUUUUUGAAACUGAAAACAUUGUAAUCUAUAUAUCUACUUAGAAAGAUGUGAAAUAUCCACCUAAUAAUAAUCAUUUGGGGUUACUAAUAAAAAUUAUUUUUACUUUUCUUCAUUGCUUACUUUAUAAUGAGCUGUUUCAUUUUUUAAAACACAAAAAGUUAUUAUUCUUGCAUAUUAAAUUGUUAAACAUAAAAGUAAUAUGUACUCAUUGGAAAAAAAUCCAGACACCUUCUCUUCCAGGUGACCUAAAUAGAAUUAGGGAGAGAGAAAAAUAAUGAUCUCUGAUCAGAAAAUAUAAUAAAAAUGAUUUUAGAAAGAGUCAACAUAUUUACUCUGCUUAGAAGUUUACACAUAUAAUCUCAUUUAAUUUUCACAACAUAUUAUGCAGUAGGAAGCAUCAUUAGCUCCAUUUUAUAGACAAAAAAAAUCUCUUGCAUUCUGCAAUUGUCUAAAAUUACUUUGAAAAGAGACAGUUUUUAAUAGCAUAGUUAAAGAUAAAAGAUUUAUAACAUACACAUGAUAGAGAAAAUUAAUAUAGUCAUGCAUUACUUCAUGAUGGAAAUAUGUUCUGAGAAAUGUGUUGUUAUAUGAUUUUGUUGCUGUGUAAACAUCACAGAGUGAACCCACACAUCCUCGAAGGUAUAGCCUAAUGCUCUUAGGUUACAAAGCUGUACAGCAUGUAACUCUACUGAAUACUGUGGUCAUUAUAACAAAUUGGUAUCUGUGUAUCUAAACAUUAAAAAGGUACACUACAAAG
RNAcentral lists this long non-coding RNA (3095 nucleotides) under Homo sapiens (human). RNAcentral describes it as "long non-coding RNA NONHSAT198599.1". Lineage: Eukaryota; Metazoa; Chordata; Mammalia; Primates; Hominidae. The record is from RNAcentral.